This is a long non-coding RNA of Brassica napus (rape), 633 nucleotides long. RefSeq lists it as uncharacterized. Lineage: Eukaryota; Viridiplantae; Streptophyta; Magnoliopsida; Brassicales; Brassicaceae. The record is from RefSeq and is a predicted model, not a curated record. The transcript is spliced from 3 exons.
CAUAUACUUGAUAUUUUUUUCUUAAGAAAGAGAGAAUGUUAACGCACAAAUCUGGGAAGCGUUACUUAGUUUCUCCGGCAGAUGAAUUCAUCAAUAUUUUAUCAGAAAGAAAAGCCAUGUUUCAUUCUUUUAUGCUGCUGAGGAAUUGAGGUUCGAAAUCGUGUCGGAGGAGGAUGUUGCGGAGAGAACAGUUACCAUGAACAUACUUGGGACCCUAAUUUCAGAAGGCUACAAAACGGUCAAAGUAAGAAUCACCGUCGCUCCAUGGGAGGAAGAGAUUACAAAAAGCUGCUUGGAGUACACCUUCGAGUUCGACAAGAUUAAAAAUCACAUCAGAAAAACUGAGAUCGUCGAAUCCCUACUCACGUACAUCGAUAUAAGCGAUACCAAUAAUAACAGAAGUGAUGAUAAUUUAAGUACAACUCCUUUGACGCUGCGUAUCCGGCGGAAGAAUACUUCAAGCGUAAAGUCAAAGCAUUUGAAGAAGAUGAUGACGUGACGGUGGGGGAUGUGAAUAGGAUAAAUAAGAGAUUUACGGUGAGUUUCAUCAGCGCUCCUUUCUUGUCGGAUUCUUACGAAGACGGAAGUAUUUUCCAGAGUAUGGAAGUAACCAUCACUAUUACUCCUAAGAAA